AGAGUUUGAUCAUGGCUCAGAAUCAACGCUGGCGGCGUGCCUAACACAUGCAAGUCGAACGCGAAAGGGGAGCAAUCCCUGAGUAGAGUGGCAAACGGGUGAGUAACACGUGGGUGACCUGCCUCAGAGUGGGGGAUAACGUCCCGAAAGGGACGCUAAUACCGCAUAACAUCCUGCCUUUGGAAAGGCGGAGAUCAAAGCUGGGGAUCGCAAGACCCGGCACUUGGAGAGGGGCCCGCGUCUGAUUAGCUAGUUGGUGAGGUAACGGCUCACCAAGGCGACGAUCAGUAUCCGGCCUGAGAGGGCGGACGGACACACUGGGACUGAGACACGGCCCAGACUCCUACGGGAGGCAGCAGUGGGGAAUUGUUCGCAAUGGGCGCAAGCCUGACGACGCAACGCCGCGUGGAGGAUGAAGAUCUUCGGGACGUAAACUCCUGUCGAACGGGAAGAAUGUUUCGCGGAUGAAUAAGCUGCGAAAGUGACGGUACCGUUAAAGGAAGCCCCGGCUAACUCCGUGCCAGCAGCCGCGGUAAUAC
Molecule: ribosomal RNA, 539 nt
Filed under: uncultured bacterium
Lineage: Bacteria
Description: bacterial SSU rRNA
Rfam family: Bacterial small subunit ribosomal RNA
Source: RNAcentral